GAUGAACGCUGGCGGCGUGCUUAACACAUGCAAGUCGAACGGAAAGGCCCAAGCUUGCUUGGGUACUCGAGUGGCGAACGGGUGAGUAACACGUGGGUGAUCUGCCCUGCACUUCGGGAUAAGCCUGGGAAACUGGGUCUAAUACCGGAUAGGACCACAUUUUGGAUGGUGUGGUGGAAAGUUUUUCGGUGUGGGAUGAGCUCGCGGCCUAUCAGCUUGUUGGUGGGGUAAUGGCCUACCAAGGCGUCGACGGGUAGCCGGCCUGAGAGGGUGUACGGCCAACUUUGGGACUGGGUACCGGCCCGGCCUCCUCCGGGGGGCGGAGGGGGGGAAUUUUGCACAAUGGGGGCAGGCCUAUUGCGGGGCGGCGGCUGGGGGAUGACGGCCUUCGGGUUGUAAACUCCUUUCGCUAGGGACGAAGCGUUUUUGUGACGGUACCUGGAGAAGAAGCACCGGCUAACUACGUG
This 467-nucleotide ribosomal RNA is filed under the name uncultured bacterium. Its description in RNAcentral is "partial 16S ribosomal RNA". It matches the Rfam family "Bacterial small subunit ribosomal RNA", at positions 28 to 507 of the family's 1533-position model. The record is from RNAcentral.